This 318-nucleotide small nuclear RNA is filed under the name Octodon degus (degu). RNAcentral describes it as "7SK RNA (ENSODEG00000023063.1)". It matches the Rfam family "7SK RNA". From Rfam's summary of the family: 7SK was discovered as an abundant small nuclear RNA in the mid-70s but a possible function has only recently been suggested. Two independent studies have found that 7SK RNA binds the CDK9/cyclin T complex (known as elongation factor P-TEFb). The record is from RNAcentral. Lineage: Eukaryota; Metazoa; Chordata; Mammalia; Rodentia; Octodontidae.
GGAUGUGAGGGCGAUCUGGCUGUGACAUCUGUCACCCCACUGAUCACUAGGGUUGAUUCAGCUGAUCUGGCUGGCUAGGCGGGUGUCCCCUUCCUCCCUCAAUGAUCCAUGUGCAUCCCUCCUGAAGCUGUGCACUCGGUCGAAGAGGACAACCACCCCCAAUAGAGGAGGACCAUUCCUUGGUCAAGGGUAUAGGAGUAGCUGCGCUCCCCUGCUAGAACCUCCAAAUAAACUCUCAAGAAAAGCAUACAGUAUAAAGUGAAGUACGUUUUUCAAUAGUUCUAAACUUCAGGGUUUGAGGUUCUUUGAAAUAUAUUU